Molecule: ribosomal RNA, 509 nt
Filed under: uncultured bacterium
Lineage: Bacteria
Description: bacterial SSU rRNA
Rfam family: Bacterial small subunit ribosomal RNA
Source: RNAcentral
AGGACGAACGCUGGCGGCGUGCUUAACACAUGCAAGUCGAACGGAGAUUCAGCAAUGGAUCUUAGUGGCGAACGGGUGAGUAACGCGUAGGCAAUCUGCCUUCUAGAUGGGGACAACAUCCCGAAAGGGGUGCUAAUACCGAAUGUUGUACCGUUUCCGCAUGGAGAUGAUACUAAAGGUGGCCUCUGAAUAUGCUACCGCUAGAAGAUGAGCCUGCGUCUGAUUAGCUAGUUGGAGGGGUAACGGCCCACCAAGGCUUCGAUCAGUAGCCGGUCUGAGAGGAUGAACGGCCACACUGGGACUGAGACACGGCCCAGACUCCUACGGGAGGCAGCAGUGGGGAAUCUUCCGCAAUGGACGAAAGUCUGACGGAGCAACGCCGCGUGAGUGAAGAAGGUUUUCGGAUCGUAAAGCUCUUUCGUUAGGGACGAACGUGCUCUUUGUGAAUAAUGAGGAGUAAUGACGGUACCUAAAUAAGAAGCCACGGCUAACUACGUGCCAGCCGCCGC